This 30-nucleotide non-coding RNA is filed under the name Bos taurus (domestic cattle). The record is from RNAcentral. RNAcentral also lists the same sequence under 4 other names. Lineage: Eukaryota; Metazoa; Chordata; Mammalia; Artiodactyla; Bovidae.
GCUGGGCCCAUAACCCAGAGGUCGAUGGAU